Molecule: ribosomal RNA, 520 nt
Filed under: uncultured bacterium
Lineage: Bacteria
Description: bacterial SSU rRNA
Rfam family: Bacterial small subunit ribosomal RNA
Source: RNAcentral
AGAGUUUGAUUCUGGCUCAAGGAUGAACGCUAGCGAUAGGCCUAACACAUGCAAGUCGAGGGGCAGCACAUGAGUAGCAAUACGAUGGUGGCGACCGGCGCACGGGUGAGUAACACGUAUGCAACUACCUUUAACAGGGGAAUAACCCGUUGAAAAACGGACUAAUACUCCAAUAACACAGGGGUCCCGCAUGGGAAUAUUUGUUAAAGAUUAAUCGGUUGAAGAUGGGCAUGCGUUCCAUUAGCUUGUUGGUGAGGUAACGGCUCACCAAGGCCACGAUGGAUAGGGGAACUGAGAGGUUUAUCCCCCACACUGGAACUGAGACACGGUCCAGACUCCUACGGGAGGCAGCAGUGAGGAAUAUUGGUCAAUGGGGGCAACUCUGAACCAGCCAAGUCGCGUGAAGGAAUGAAGGUCUUAUGGAUUGUAAACUUCUUUUGCAAGGGAAUAAAGUGGGGACGUGUCCUCCUUUGCAUGUACCUUGCGAAUAAGGAUCGGCUAACUCCGUGCCAGCAGCAGC